GUGGAAGUCAGUCGCCUUUUCUGUAUAGUCACAGUUUUCAUGAGGGGGCAGAACACAACAUCAACUGGGAGAGGCAAAGAAUGAAAAGAUGCAUGCGACCCAGCAGAACGCCAGGCAAGAAAUCAGAAACAGCCCUGCCCUCAUUUCUCCCCUCCGUACUAAGUCUGGGUCCCAGGACUCUGAAGGUGGAAGAGGAACGAUGGCGCUGCAUGCUAAUGGGGAGGAGGCUGCCACCCAGGACAGCUCCAAAGCAGUGAAAAAUGAGGAGAAAAAAAGAUGAGGAAAACAACUCAGUGGCAGAAAUUGGGUGCCAGUCAGCUGGUUAUUUACUGAGUCUACGCCCAGUGUGUCUUCGUAGGUGUGUUUGUUUCAAAUCCAGGCAGUGACGCAUGGUUACAGUGAAGAUCUGCCUGCUCACCUCCUGCAGGGGAACUUAAUAUGCACAAGGCGUUUUAUCUCUUUCAUCUAAUCAACUGAAGAACGAGAGGAGCAUACUCUCAUUUGAGGUACAACCCUCAAAGAAAAAUGCAUCAGACCUUUGUCUUCAAAGUCACUGGGGCAGGAUGGAGAGAGGCUGUCAAUUGCUCCAGCUUUUCUUGCAGCUGCCCCUAUGUUUACAGCAGAGCCCUGAAGGGUCUGAUCGACACUGUUAAGCAGUUUCUGUGUUUUGUCUGCCCACCAGGCUAUUCGCUUUCCCAGAGUGUCAGUGUUUACCAGCACUUCAGCAGGAGGGCACUGGGUCUGCCCCUGGUUAUCCCCCAGAACAUUCCUUCCUCUCUGCUUGGCUCUCCCUCCGCAUAGUCGUCCUGUGGAACACAGAUGCCAAUGGGAACACCGGAAAAGGGAUGGUUAAGGAGCUCUUUGGGCUCACAGGCCACAGCUGCAGGAGAGCUGAGACUCCUCAAACAGAUGAGAGGCAGUCGAGCAAAGUGGUUAAGAACUUCAGCUGCGGAGGCAAACUGCCUUGCCUGGAAUCCUGGGUCUCUGCUGACUAGAUGUGUGACCCUCAGCAAGUUGCUUAACCUCUUUGUGCCCCGGUUUCUGGGAGAUGAAUAUAAUAAUAGUAUUUCUCUCAUAGGCUUGUUGUGAGGUUUAAAUGAGUUAAUGCAGGUAAAUUACUUAGAACGUUACCUGGUGUUAUGGUCUGAAUGUUUGUGUUUCCCCAAAAUUCAUAUGUUGAAAUCUAAUCACCAAGAUGAUGGUAUUUGAAGCUGGGAUCUUUGGGAGGUGAUUAGGUCAUAAGGACAGGGCCAUCAUGAAUGGGAUUAGUGCCCUUUGAAAGAAGACCCCAGGCUGGGCACAGUGACUCACGCCUGUAAUCCCAGUACUUUGAGAGGCUGAGGCCAGAGGAUUGCUUGAGUCCAGGAGUUUGCCUAGCCUAGGUAACAUAGUGAGACCCAGUCUCUACAAAAAAUAAAAAAGUUAGGCCAGGCGAGGUGGUUCAUGCCUGUAAUCCCUGCGCUUUGGGAGGCUGAGGUGGGUGGAUCACUUGAGGUCAGGAGUCCUAGACCAGCCUGGCCAACAUGGUGAAAUCCCAUCUCUAUUAAAAAUGCAAAAAUUAGCCAGACAUGGUGGUGCAUGCCUGUAAUCCCAGCUACACAGGAGGCUGAGGCAGGAGAAUUGCUUGAACCCUGGAGGUGGAGAUUGCAGUAAGCUGAGAUGGUGCCACUGUACUCCAGCCUGGGCAACAGAGUGACACUCUGUCUCAAAAAAAAAAAAAAAGUUAGCUGGGUGUGGUGGCAUAUGCCUGUAGUUCCAGCUACUCCAGAGGCUGAGGUGGGAAGAAUGCUUGAAGCUGGGAGGUUCAGGUUGCAGUGAGCCAUAAUUGCACCUCUACACUACCCUGGGCAACACAGCAAGACCCUAUCUCUAAAAAUAAAAAUAAAAAGACUCCAGAGGGCUAGCUAGCCCCUUCCACCAUAUAAGGACACAGCAAGAAGGUAUCAUCUGUGGCCAAGGAAACAGGCCCUCACCAAAUACGAAAUCUGCAGGCACUUUGAUCUUGGACUUCCCAGCCACCAGAACUGUGAGAAAUAAAUUUCUGUCAUUUACAAGCC
This 2057-nucleotide long non-coding RNA is filed under the name Homo sapiens (human). Its description in RNAcentral is "HSALNT0079462". The record is from RNAcentral. Lineage: Eukaryota; Metazoa; Chordata; Mammalia; Primates; Hominidae.